UGCAUAGCCGACCUGAGAGGGUGAUCGGCCACACUGGAACUGAGACACGGUCCAGACUCCUACGGGAGGCAGCAGUAGGGAAUCUUCCGCAAUGGGCGAAAGCCUGACGGAGCAACGCCGCGUGAGUGAUGAAGGUCUUCGGAUCGUAAAACUCUGUUAUUAGGGAAGAACAUAUGUGUAAGUAACUGUGCACAUCUUGACGGUACCUAAUCAGAAAGCCACGGCUAACUACGUGCCAGCAGCCGCGGUAAUACGUAGGUGGCAAGCGUUAUCCGGAAUUAUUGGGCGUAAAGCGCGCGUAGGCGGUUUUUUAAGUCUGAUGUGAAAGCCCACGGCUCAACCGUGGAGGGUCAUUGGAAACUGGAAAACUUGAGUGCAGAAGAGGAAAGUGGAAUUCCAUGUGUAGCGGUGAAAUGCGCAGAGAUAUGGAGGAACACCAGUGGCGAAGGCGACUUUCUGGUCUGUAACUGACGCUGAUGUGCGAAAGCGUGGGGAUCAAACAGGAUUAGAUACCCUGGUAGUCCACGCCGUAAACGAUGAGUGCUAAGUGUUAGGGGGUUUCCGCCCCUUAGUGCUGCAGCUAACGCAUUAAGCACUCCGCCUGGGGAGUACGACCGCAAGGUUGAA
RNAcentral lists this ribosomal RNA (627 nucleotides) under Staphylococcus aureus. RNAcentral describes it as "bacterial SSU rRNA". It matches the Rfam family "Bacterial small subunit ribosomal RNA", at positions 280 to 898 of the family's 1533-position model. The record is from RNAcentral. Lineage: Bacteria; Bacillati; Bacillota; Bacilli; Caryophanales; Staphylococcaceae.